Epinephelus moara (kelp grouper) is the source of this 2048-nucleotide long non-coding RNA. RefSeq lists it as uncharacterized. Lineage: Eukaryota; Metazoa; Chordata; Actinopteri; Perciformes; Serranidae. The record is from RefSeq and is a predicted model, not a curated record. The transcript has 4 exons.
CACAAGGAAGCCAAAGACAUGAUACAUCAUGGCAAUAUAUAGUGUUUGACAAACAAGCAGUAACAGUUCACAAGUAUGUGAGACUCCUACAAGCCUUCUCACACACACACAUUCAAGGUGCUUCCCAUCACUUAAGCUGCUGUUUCCUGAUAUCUAGAUAACCAGUUCUGGGAACAUUUGCUUCUUCUCACGUACCCAAAUUUGGUCAGAGUCAUGUUAGAUCAUCUGCACUACUUGAACUAUUAAAUAUUUACAGAAGCUUAUAUAAAUUUUUAUUGAUUUCACAUCACAGUCAUAUGACAUUUGAUUUAGGCUCUCAACUCCAGAUGUGACACUUGUAUAAUGCCUUGUUCAGAGACUGUCUGUAAAGAUACAUAUACAGUGAUACAGUUUGAUUUUCAGAUAGAUUUGAAUUGAAUAUAGCUUUAACUGGAACCAUAUAACAUCAAACAUUUGAUCAGGGACCCACUGAAUUUCCCUCAAACGACCAGCUGUGGGUCGCAGGGACUCACAACACUGAAACCCCAUCAACAUCACUGAACCAGCGUUGACUGUUGGUUGGAAACAGGAAACAAAAGCGUUCUCCAGUGUGAAAGUCUGAAGUUUUGUUAACCCAUCCAUCCACCUGUGGACUGACUUCACUCCUGUCAUAACCACGACUGCAGGCUUUGUCCCUGUGGGCGGAGAUGACUCAUCACUAAUUGGCUUUUUACCAUCAUGAGCAAAUGUGAUCUCAUCCCGUACACGCGCUGCAAGUAGCUUUCCACACAACAAAAUGACACAGUCAGGUUGUCCACAUUGAUGAUGAGGCAGAGGUGUGCUGGUUCUCACCACAGUCAGAUCCUGUCCCCUCACUAUGACUGCUCUUGUCUUGUUCCAUUCCUCCCUUUCAAAAAGUUUCAUCAGCUGAUGAAAAAGCGCAGAAAACAACUGAUUUAUAGAUCAGAAGUGACCAAAUUGUGGUGAAGCACACAUUGACCCUCAUUUACAAACCCAAUGCAUGACAGAAAACUGGGUGUGUGGUUAUUCAACGCAAAGCUCAGUAUUUUUUAAUGUGGACGUGAGAAGCAACUUGUGAAGCAACAGCUGGCUGAGUUGGAGAAUUAUUAUCAGACCAUAUUCUGACUGGCAUCUAAGGACCUGCAGCCACAUACAGAAUUAAUUAAAAAUGUAUAGCCUUUGAGAAAAUAUUUUAUAAAGGCCUACAUUAUGCGCUCACAGUAUCUUCACUCUGUGGGACUGGCUCCAGGCUGACCUCAGGCUGAACACCACAGGUGCCCGGCUCUGAUUCAUCUGAAACACAACACUAAGAAACCUAAGCAUGUUUAUAUAAUGUAUCAUGAAAACAUUAUAAAAAAUGAAAUUAAUUAACCCUGCAACAGUAUAAUCAUUUAAAUACUAGUAGCCCAGGAGGUGCCGGAUCGGCACUGGCUUGUACGUUAGAUUGAUAAAAGAAGGUCAGUGUGGGUUUCCUCCAGGUGCUCCCACAUGUUCUCCCCGUGUCAGCGUGGGUUUCCUCCAGGUGCUCCGACAUGUUCUCCCUGUGUCAGUGUGGGUUUCCUCCAGGUGCUCCCACAUGUUCUCCCUGUGUCAGCGUGGGUUUCCUCCAGGUGCUCCCACAUGUUCUUCCCGUGUCAGUGUGGGUUUCCUCCAGGUGCUCUGACAUGUUCUCCCUGUGUCAGCGUGGGUUUCCUCCAGGUGCUCCCACAUGUUCUUCCCGUGUCAGCGUGGGUUUCCUCCAGGUGCUCCCACAUGUUCUCCCUGUGUCAGCGUGGGUUUCCUCCAGGUGCUCUGACAUGUUCUCCCUGUGUCAGCGUGGGUUUCCUCCAGGUGCUCUGACAUGUUCUCCCUGUGUCAGCGUGGGUUUCCUCCAGGUGCUCCAGCUUCCUCCCACAGUCCAAAGACAUGCAGGUUAACUGGUGACUCUAAAUUGUCCGUAGGUGUGAAUGUGAGUGUGAAUGGUUGUCUGUCUCUAUGUGUCAGCCCUGUGAUAGUCUGGUGACCUGUCCAGGGUGAACCCUGCCUCUCACCCAGUGUCAGCUGGGAUA